Molecule: ribosomal RNA, 403 nt
Filed under: bacterium
Lineage: Bacteria
Description: partial 16S ribosomal RNA
Rfam family: Bacterial small subunit ribosomal RNA
Source: RNAcentral
UGGGGAAUAUUGCACAAUGGGGGAAACCCUGAUGCAGCGACGCCGCGUGAACGAAGAAGGUAUUCGUAUCGUAAAGUUCUGUCCUAUGGGAAGAUAAUGACAGUACCAUAGAAGAAAGCUCCGGCUAAAUACGUGCCAGCAGCCGCGGUAAUACGUAUGGAGCGAGCGUUGUCCGGAAUUAUUGGGCGUAAAGGGUACGCAGGCGGUUUAAUAAGUCGAAUGUUAAAGAUCGGGGCUCAACCCCGCAAAGCAUUGGAAACUGAUAAACUUGAGUAGUGGAGAGGAAAGUGAAAUUCCUAGUGUAGUGGUGAAAUACGUAGAUAUUAGGAGGAAUACCAGUAGCGAAGGCGACUUUCUGGACACAAACUGACGCUGAGGUACGAAAGCGUGGGGAGCAAACAGG